GGCGGCGUGCUUAAGACAUGCAAGUCGUGCGAGAAAGUUCCUUCGGGAGCGAGUAAAGCGGCGCACGGGUGAGUAACGCGUGGGUAAUCUGCCCGAAGGUCUGGGAUAACUCCGGGAAACUGGGGCUAAUACCAGAUGAGACCACGUCGUCUGCGGACGACGCGGAAAAAGAUGGCCUCUGCUUGCAAGCUAUCGCCUACGGAUGAGCCCGCGUCCCAUUAGCUAGUUGGCGGGGUAACGGCCCACCAAGGCAGUGAUGGGUAGCUGGUCUGAGAGGACGACCAGCCACACUGGAACUGAGACACGGUCCAGACUCCUACGGGAGGCAGCAGUCGGGAAUUUUGGGCAAUGGGCGAAAGCCUGACCCAGCGACGCCGCGUGAGGGAUGAAGGCCUUCGGGUCGUAAACCUCUGUCGGAAGGGGCGAAAGGUCAUUGGGCGAAUAGGCCAAGGGCUUGACGGUACCUUCAAAGGAAGCGCCGGCUAACUCCGUGCCAGCAGCCGCGGUAAUACGGAGGGCGCAAGCGUUGUUCGGAAUUACUGGGCGUAAAGCGCGUGUAGGUGGCUUGGAAAGUCGGGUGUGAAAUCCCGGAGCUCAACUCCGGAACUGCAUUCGAUACUGCCAAGCUCGAGUCUCGGA
Molecule: ribosomal RNA, 639 nt
Filed under: uncultured bacterium
Lineage: Bacteria
Description: bacterial SSU rRNA
Rfam family: Bacterial small subunit ribosomal RNA
Source: RNAcentral